GGCCCGUUAGCUCAGUUGAUUAGAGCGUCGUGCUAAUAACGCGAAGGUCGUGGGUUCGAUCCCCCCACGGGCCA
This 74-nucleotide transfer RNA is filed under the name Schistocerca americana (American grasshopper). RNAcentral describes it as "tRNA-Ile". It matches the Rfam family "tRNA". From Rfam's summary of the family: Transfer RNA (tRNA) molecules are approximately 80 nucleotides in length. Their secondary structure includes four short double-helical elements and three loops (D, anti-codon, and T loops). Lineage: Eukaryota; Metazoa; Arthropoda; Insecta; Orthoptera; Acrididae. The record is from RNAcentral.